CAAUUUUUGAUGAAAUCAAACAAAGUUUAAUUUUGGACCCCGAUUCGGACCAACUUGAAAACUGGGCCAAUAAUCAAGAAUCUAAGUACAUUUUAAGAUUCAGCAUAUCAAAGAACCUAACUGAUUCAUUUUUUGUCAAAAUCAAACUAAGUUUAAUUUUGGACCCUUUGGACCUUAAUGUAGACCAAUUUGAAAACGGGACCAAAAGUUAAGAAUCUACAUACACAGUCAUGACAGUUAGAUUCGGCAUAUCAAAGAACCCCAAUUAUUCAAUUUUGAUGAAAUCAAACAAAGUUUAAUUUUGGACCCUUUGAGCCCCUUAUUCUGUUGGGACCAAAACUCCCAAAAUCAAUACCAACCUUCCUUUUAUGGUCAUAAACCUUGUGUUUAAAUUUCAUAGAUUUCUAUUUACUUAUACUAACGUUAUGGUGCGAAAACCAAGAAAAAUGCUUAUUUGGGUCCCUUUUUGGCCCCUAAUUCCUAAACUGUUGGGACCUAAACUCCCAAAAUCAAUCCCAACCGUUCUUUUGUGGUCAUAAACCUUGUGUCAAAAUUUCAUAGAUUUCUAUUAACUUAAACUAAAGUUAUAGUGCGAAAACCAAGAAAAUGCUUAUUUGGGCCCUUUUUGGCCCCCAAUUCCUAAAAUGUUGGGACCAAAACUCCCAAAAUCAAUACCAACCUUCCUUUUGUGGUCAUAAACCUUGUGUUAAAAUUUCAUAGAUUUCCAUUCACUUUUACUAAAGUUAGAGUGCGAAAACUAAAAGUAUUCGGACGACGACGACGACGACAACGACGACGACGACGCCAACGUGAUAGCAAUAUACGACGAAAAAUUUUUCAAAUUUUGCGGUCGUAUAAAAACUGCAAAAUUUCCUUAAAAUUACCAAUUCAGGGGCAGCAACCCAACAACCAGUUGUCCGAUCCAUCUGAAAAUUUCAGGGCAGAUAGAUCUUGACCUGAUUAACAAUUAAAUUCCGUUAGAUUUUCUCUAAAUGCUUUGGUUUUUGAGUUAUAAGCCAAAAACUGCAUUUUACCCCUAUGUUCUAUUUUUAGCCGUGGCGGCCAUCUUGGUUGAAUGGCCGGGUCACUGGACACAUUUUUUUAACUAGAUACCCCAAAGAUGAUUUUUGCCAAGUUUGGUUAAAUUUGGCCCAGUAGUUUCGGAGAAAAAGAUUUUUGUAAAAGAUUACUAAGAUUUACGAAAAAUGGUUAAAAAUUGACUAUAAAGGGCAAUAACUCCUAAAGGAGUCAACUGACCAUUUCAGUCAUGUUGACUUAUUUGUAAAUCUUACUUUGCUGAACAUUAUUGCUGUUUACAGUUUAUC
This 1325-nucleotide long non-coding RNA is filed under the name Mytilus galloprovincialis (Mediterranean mussel). The record is from RNAcentral. Lineage: Eukaryota; Metazoa; Mollusca; Bivalvia; Mytilida; Mytilidae.